Molecule: ribosomal RNA, 508 nt
Filed under: uncultured Glomeromycotina
Lineage: Eukaryota; Fungi; Glomeromycota
Description: SSU rRNA
Rfam family: Eukaryotic small subunit ribosomal RNA
Source: RNAcentral
AGCAGCCGCGGUAAUUCCAGCUCCAAUAGCGUAUAUUAAAGUUGUUGCAGUUAAAAAGCUCGUAGUUGAAUUUCGGGAUCAGCAGGUUGGUCGUGCCUCUGGUAUGCACUGGUUUCGCUGAUUCCUCCUUUCUGAAGAACUGUAAUGUCAUUAAUUUGGUGUUGCAGGGAAACAGGACUGUUACUUUGAAAAAAUUAGAGUGUUUAAGGCGAGCUAACGCUUGAAUACAUUAGCAUGGAGUAAUGAAAUAGGACGUUUGAUCCUAUUUUGUUGGUUUCUAGGAUUGACGUAAUGAUUAAUAGGGAUAGUUGGGGGCAUUAGUAUUCAAUUGUCAGAGGUGAAAUUCUUGGAUUUAUUGAAGACUAACUACUGCGAAAGCAUUUGCCAAGGAUGUUUUCAUUAAUCAAGAACGAAAGUUAGGGGAUCGAAGACGAUCAGAUACCAUCGUAGUCUUAACCAUAAACUAUGCCGACUAGGGAUCGGAUGAUGUUAAUUUUUUAAUGACUCA